AUCGCNGCUNACCAUGCAAGUCGAACGGUAAUUCCGAUUUCGGUCGGAAACGAGUGGCGAACGGGUGCGUAACGCGUAUGCAACCUACCUUUAACUGGGGAAUAGCCCCGAGAAAUCGGGAUUAAUACCCCAUAAUAUCCCAAAAUCGCAUGAUUUUAGGAUUAAAGCUUCGGCGGUUUUAGAUGGGCAUGCGUGACAUUAGUUUGUUGGUGAGGUAACGGCUCACCAAGACUACGAUGUCUAGGGGUUCUGAGAGGAUUAUCCCCCACACUGGUACUGAGACACGGACCAGACUCCUACGGGAGGCAGCAGUGAGGAAUAUUGGGCAAUGGACGAAAGUCUGACCCAGCCAUGCCGCGUGCAGGAUGACAGCCCUAUGGGUUGUAAACUGCUUUUUUACGGGAAAAAACCCCCGAACGUGUUCGGGGCUGAUGGUACCGUAAGAAUAAGGAUCGGCUAACUCCGUGCCAGCAGCCGCGGUAAUACGGAGGAUCCAAGCGUUAUCCGGAUUUAUUGGGUUUAAAGGGUGCGCAGGCGGGACGAUAAGUCAGUGGUGAAAGCCUACAGCUUAACUGUAGAACUGCCUCUGAAACUGUCGUUCUUGAGUAUAGUUGAAGUAAGUGGAAUGUGUCAUGUAGCGGUGAAAUGCAUAGAUAUGACACAGAACACCAAUUGCGAAGGCAGCUUACUAAGCUAUAACUGACGCUCAUGCACGAAAGCGUGGGGAGCAAACAGGAUUAGAUACCCUGGUAGUCCACGCUGUAAACGAUGAUUACUCGAUGUUGGCGAUAUACAGUCAGUGUCUGAACGAAAGUAUUAAGUAAUCCACCUGGGGAGUACGGUCGCAAGA
Molecule: ribosomal RNA, 850 nt
Filed under: uncultured bacterium
Lineage: Bacteria
Description: bacterial SSU rRNA
Rfam family: Bacterial small subunit ribosomal RNA
Source: RNAcentral